RNAcentral lists this ribosomal RNA (639 nucleotides) under Triticum aestivum (bread wheat). RNAcentral's name for it is "partial small subunit ribosomal RNA". Lineage: Eukaryota; Viridiplantae; Streptophyta; Magnoliopsida; Poales; Poaceae. The record is from RNAcentral.
AUGAACCUAUGUUUACUAGCCUCUUGGGUUAGGAAGCAUGAGCAUGGGGCUCAGAAGAUAUGGAAGGACAUUGUUGGUUUCAAGUACAAGAACUGCUCUCCCAACAUAUUUUCUUGCCCAACCUUGCAUGCCUCCCCCUUCUGGAAAGGGGUUAUUUGGGCUGCCCAAGCUGCUAAGUUUGGGUAUAAUUGGCAGGUAGGUAAUGGGGGGGUGAAGUUUUGGUAGAGUCAAUGGUUUGGCACUUGUAGCCUAGCUAUCCAAUUCUGGGAGCUCUAUUCCAUUUCGAAUGAGCAGAAAAUCACUAUUGCAGAGGCUUGGGAUGGUACCAACCUAAAAAUAACAUUCAAAAGAUGUGUGGAUGAUAGGCUCCUACAUCAAUGGCUUGACCUUCUUUGUAUUGCUCAAUCCCUAUCUCUGAAUGAAAAUGAUGAUGCUCUCGUUUGGAAACUAGAAUCCAAGGGGGAAUAUACUGUCAGCUCUGUGUAUGUAGUGCUAAACUUUAGAGGAAAUAUGUCUGUCCAUGUGCCUGCUGUCUGGAAGAUACAUGCCCUCCCCUCCAGGAUCCAUAUUUUCCUUUGGUUGCUCGCUCACAAUAAGCAGCUUACCAGGGACAAUUUGACAAAGUUGGGCGGUCGUUGA